GCGGACCCGCCUGGGCGUGCUCCUCCCGCCGGCUCCAGGCGUCCCACCGCCCUGCCCGGCGCCAGCCCGCGGUCCCAGCCACUCCUGAGGGUGCGCCGGGCACCCAGCGCGUAGGCUCACCCUUGGUGGUCGCUGCGGAAGUCUGGACCGCCGAGGCGUGUGGCUUGUCUACCGGCAGGUGUUCUUUUGAUCACAAUGGAUAGUGACUCUUCUCUUCUGCCUGAGAGUGGUUCAAAAUAGUGAAGGAUGAGUUUGGACUUCUCAAUUUGUGUCCAGAACAAGGAUGGAGAGGCUCAGCAGCACCAACAGGUCAGCAGGACUCCCUCAUGGAAUGGGAGCACAUCCAGGCUGAAGGCCCCUGUGUUCCAGGUGCUGUGUGGGUGCUGACGUGCCAGGUGACUCCAUGAUGGCUUCCAUCCUCAGGGUCACCAUCAACUAAGACAGACUGAAGAUGUAAAUAGUAAUGGAAGGACAUGAAAGGUACAAGAGUCAGAGGCCAGGCCAAGAGCGCAAGCUGAGCAAGGGGCAAGGAAGGUUCCCUUGAUGGCUGGGUCCAGAACCGGGACUGCAGAAAGAGGAGUUUUCUGGACAGAAAGGGGUGUGGGCCUUCCAGUCAGGUUCAGAUCCACAGAAGCAUGCACACGUGGUAUGCUAGGGGCACCACCGUGCCAUCAGGGAGGGGCAUGCUGGAAAAGAGGCUGCAGAAUCUGGGACUCACUCUAUCCUGGGGCAAUGGGGAGUUUAGGAGAGGGUGAGUCAGAUCAGUGUGGUGUUUGCCUAGAGUCAGGAAGAUGAGUUAAGAGGUCUGUUGAAGUAAAAUUAUUCAUUACAGAAUAGCACCGUGUAUGUUUCUAAAAUACUUGGUGCCAUAUUUAUUCUCCUGAGCACUUAGAAAAGAAUAACUGGGCCCUUGAGUCUUGGUUGCAAUCAUUCAUUCAUCCAACCAGUAUUCAUCAAGCGUCUCCCACAUGGCCAAUGCUGGGGACCCAGUGGUGAAGCUGGAGACGACUUCACUCUCACGCCAUGAGAAGUGCUUUAAAGGAAGAGGACCAGAUACCUGUAGAGCAUGUUACAGAGGAGUCAGGUCUGGUCUGGGGUUGGAGGUCCAGGAAGUGACUGGAGUUGAAGCUUGAAGGAGUUGGUAUUCAACAUGCAAAACUGGGAAAGAGGCAUUCAAAGGAAGUAGCUCGUGUGAGGGCCCUGGGGUGGGAGGGAGCAUGGUUCAUUUGAGAAGUUAAGAAAGCACAGAGAGUAAGGAGGAGAACAGGGAGGGUUAGGGGAGGAGGGGGUAGGGCCUGUGCCAGGCUGGCCCUGCCCUUUAAGGUGCCAAGUCCUUGCAAGCAUUUGAAGUUAAAACAUGAUGGCCAUUUGUUGAUGAUUUCUUGAUCUCUCUGUUUCCCCUUAGGCACUGGUGGAUUCUCGACAGAACCACAAAGUGGAGUUGGCUACAGAUGAGUCUGUUCAUGGCCUCAGCUUCCCACCUAUUCCUGAGUCACCUUUUGCCCCUCAGACAGAGAUGGGAUAGCGCCAGGAUGUGGGUUUGUGUUAUCUAAUUUCUUGGAGUUUGUACAGGUUUUACCUGGUACCAGCGUGACCUUCCCAUGUACCCUCUUGGUCAGCAACUCACAGUCUGCUUGCUUUAUUUUAUAAGGAGUUAAUCCCACUUUCUGGAACUUGCUCAUUCUCAAAGUGAGUGGUUGUUAGCCCUCAAGACAGUCCGCAGAAAUUUCAGCCCCAUGGGAAAGAAAAAAAUGCAGGUCUCUACCUGAUGCUUGGAAAGCCAGCCAUGUUAACUUUGUCAACACCAAUGCUCAUCAAAUAUGCACAUUUAUCUAGUGUUCCCAACCUAGAUUCCCAGCCUGGGAUUCUGUGGGCCAGAGGCCCCAGGGUAGAGAUUAUAGCCUAACAUCCCAGCCGAGAAUCUUUGAUUGCAGAUAGGAAAAAUUCAGACAUUUCUGAACUCCAAGACCACAGUGAUUUACAUGGCUUGGUGAUAAGCUAUUACUGAUAAAUUACUCGAAGUUUCUGCUUCCCCCAACUCUGGCAAGAACUUUGGCAGAACUUCUACGCCAUAUCCAGUACUAGGAACUUGCCAAGUUUAUGUCCUUAAAAUAAAGUGGGUUCCAAGAUAGAUGGCAGAAAGUGGGAAAUGUGAUUUUUCUUGAUUGGGUAACUAAGAACCACACAGCAGGCGGGAGCCAUUUUGGGCCAAAGAGCUGUUCAUUUAAAGUGUUUAUUGACACCUGGAAAUAGGGAUUAAACUUCAAAUGCUAUUUUCACAUCAAGUUUAUGCUCUAUAAUUUCAUAAUGGUGAUAAAAUCCAGGCAGCUACCAAAAGGAGAGCUCCCAAGUGAUCUUACUACUGGGUCUCCCUAGUACAGACAUUCAGGAUCCUGGACCAGCUGAAGCCAGGGAAGGAAGCACCCCGGCGGGUCACCGGCUGAUGGAAAGGAGGCGCCGUGAUGGUUAAGUGUUUCCAUGUUGGCUACCUGAUUUCAGACGGUCUCAGCUUUGGUUGGUUUGUAUGACUGCCUCAAAUUCUCAGUGGUCACCCUUAUUUUUUAUUUGGAAUGUGUUCCCCACUCUGUAGAGGACUGAGUCAGGGAGAUGGCUGUGCAUCCUUGAAGGGUUCCAUUUUGACCCUGAUCAUCCUCAGUAGACAUGGGUGCUACUCCAAGCGUGGCCUUGGAGGUUUGGGGACCGUGGACAGCAUACAAAUCGAGAGGUGAGGGACAGCCGAGGGAAAGAAACUACUCAGAAUAUGCGGUAAGAACCAUGUCUGGUUUCUGUUUGGCAACACAAUAAUGGGAUUCCUUGCAUUUCUCCCAGAAAAGCAUCGGUGGGGAAAAAACUGUUGUGGGAGGUGCAGUGAUCAUCAAAUACUAUGAAGGCCCAUCAUUGGACAUACUCAAGCUGUGGAGAGCUGUGUUUUCCCAGAGAAAUACCAAUGCACAGGUAAGUUUGUAUUCAGGACCCAGGACUCCUUGGAGCCAUGGAUACCCACCCAUGACCCCUAUGGGAUGGGGAAAUUCACAAAAGGCACAACAAAAAAAGUCUUUCAGGUGGGGCUGGGGAGGGCAGUGAAAUGUUGGCUUAUGCUUGCUUCCCGGUUCUCACUUCUGGCUGUUCUCUGUCCUCUCUCCACCUCGUCCUCCAGCAGCAGCAGCACAGAGCCAUCUCUGCGCCCAUCGGCCUGCCCCAGAGACCUCCCCAGCAUGGUGUGGUGGGGCAGCUGGUGUUGUGAAUCAGGCCGUUGCCAAUCAGAGAACGGCUACUUCACAACACCAGGGCCGCACCACACUACAGGCAGCAUUCCGGCUCCAGAAUCCACAAGGGCGCCCUCUGGCGAGGCAGCCACACCCACCGCAGAGGACCGUCAGCUCCAGAACCCAGGCAGUUCUGGGCUGGCUGCUGCAGCUCCCCUGCAGACACUGGCCUCCUGAGGCUGCUGUUUAUCCCCCAACACAAAUGCUCUGCUUUUAAAGAAAAAGACACUCCUGGUAACAUUAGCUUCCUACAGAGAAAAUGAUGCGACCAGGCUUCCCACUGUGAAAAUGAAGUUAUGGGCCAUCAGGAGGGUUAAGCGCCACUCAGCUGAACAUUUCCUCCUAGGUGCCAAAACACCUCCUAGGUGCAGAGCUGGGACCGUUGUUUUGAUACUUGGUGAUGGUAGCUUUGAAUAGGGCAAAGUAGAGGAAAGGGAGGACCUAGUAAUAGGACAGUGGCCUCCUGGAGAGAGGAAGGCUCUUUGUAGCCACAUAUACAGGUAAUGCAUCUUCUUCCUAGAUGAUCCCAGGGUCCCUGGAGAGCAAACACCUUUCUUGGCUGGGGAGAGUUCCACAGCUCUCCAUCAGCACAUAUCCCAGUGACCUGAGUGCUGGAUAAGAACCAAGCACGGGAUUGUUCCUAGGGCACUGAUCUGCCAGAUACUCCAUCAAAGGUAAUACCUGCCAUUCAUUACCUGUGCUGACAGAUGGGCUUCCUUUCCCCAGGUCCGUACAGCCAUGGACCCAGCAGAGCUGGAAAACUAAUGGAGGUCUCUAGAGUUGGAGUAGUAUUUCGUGCCUAACUUAAAUCUUAUAUGUGACAUCACCAUUUUUCAGAGCCCAAGCAGGAGUUUUCAAGAUAGAGUGGCUGGGUUGGCUAGUGUCCUUUCCAAAACACUAAUAAAAAGGAGGAUGUUCCUCUCUCUAGCUUUUUAUAGGACAAAGAUCAAGAGCCACUCUGAUUAACUCAGGCCCAGUCUAUAGUCUGUUUGUAUAGGGAUCUUGCUGCUCUGAAAACCAGAGAGAUGGAUAAAAACAAGCACCAUGCAAACCUUGCAUAGCACCCAGGUUACAUAGAGCCUGAGUUAACCAGAGCCACCUGCAUCUGUAUCACCUUAGACUUCUGGAAGGUGAGUCUACUUCUGUAAAGUUCUAUCCCUCACCCCCAUCCCUAUAUCGUUAACAGCAUCUCUGAAAUUUGUACUAAAUUAUGUUUAGGGACAAAUAUCUUCAAAGCAAAAUAGUCCCAGUUUUCAGAAAGGGCUUCUUGCCGUCUCCUUCAUCCAGUUACCAACUCGUCUACCACCAGCGGAGUCCAAGCCAGAGCCACUCACGGUGUGGUCCAUGGGCGGCAGCUUCAGCAUGUUGGAAAAGCAGGAUCCCAAGGGCCACCAUGCACCUGCUCCAUCAGAAUCUCCAGUGGCCAACUCGGGGAACAUAGCAAGACUAAUCUCUACAAAAAAUGUUUUUAAAAAUUAGACGGGGGUGUGGUGGCACACACCU
Molecule: long non-coding RNA, 4769 nt
Organism: Cercocebus atys (sooty mangabey)
Lineage: Eukaryota; Metazoa; Chordata; Mammalia; Primates; Cercopithecidae
Exons: 4
Source: RefSeq, a predicted model, not a curated record